Molecule: ribosomal RNA, 1553 nt
Filed under: Staphylococcus hominis
Lineage: Bacteria; Bacillati; Bacillota; Bacilli; Caryophanales; Staphylococcaceae
Description: bacterial SSU rRNA
Rfam family: Bacterial small subunit ribosomal RNA
Source: RNAcentral
UUUAUGGAGAGUUUGAUCCUGGCUCAGGAUGAACGCUGGCGGCGUGCCUAAUACAUGCAAGUCGAGCGAACAGACGAGGAGCUUGCUCCUUUGACGUUAGCGGCGGACGGGUGAGUAACACGUGGGUAACCUACCUAUAAGACUGGGAUAACUUCGGGAAACCGGAGCUAAUACCGGAUAAUAUUUCGAACCGCAUGGUUCGAUAGUGAAAGAUGGCUUUGCUAUCACUUAUAGAUGGACCUGCGCCGUAUUAGCUAGUUGGUAAGGUAACGGCUUACCAAGGCAACGAUACGUAGCCGACCUGAGAGGGUGAUCGGCCACACUGGAACUGAGACACGGUCCAGACUCCUACGGGAGGCAGCAGUAGGGAAUCUUCCGCAAUGGGCGAAAGCCUGACGGAGCAACGCCGCGUGAGUGAUGAAGGUCUUCGGAUCGUAAAACUCUGUUAUUAGGGAAGAACAAACGUGUAAGUAACUGUGCACGUCUUGACGGUACCUAAUCAGAAAGCCACGGCUAACUACGUGCCAGCAGCCGCGGUAAUACGUAGGUGGCAAGCGUUAUCCGGAAUUAUUGGGCGUAAAGCGCGCGUAGGCGGUUUUUUAAGUCUGAUGUGAAAGCCCACGGCUCAACCGUGGAGGGUCAUUGGAAACUGGAAAACUUGAGUGCAGAAGAGGAAAGUGGAAUUCCAUGUGUAGCGGUGAAAUGCGCAGAGAUAUGGAGGAACACCAGUGGCGAAGGCGACUUUCUGGUCUGUAACUGACGCUGAUGUGCGAAAGCGUGGGGAUCAAACAGGAUUAGAUACCCUGGUAGUCCACGCCGUAAACGAUGAGUGCUAAGUGUUAGGGGGUUUCCGCCCCUUAGUGCUGCAGCUAACGCAUUAAGCACUCCGCCUGGGGAGUACGACCGCAAGGUUGAAACUCAAAGGAAUUGACGGGGACCCGCACAAGCGGUGGAGCAUGUGGUUUAAUUCGAAGCAACGCGAAGAACCUUACCAAAUCUUGACAUCCUUUGACCCUUCUAGAGAUAGAAGUUUCCCCUUCGGGGGACAAAGUGACAGGUGGUGCAUGGUUGUCGUCAGCUCGUGUCGUGAGAUGUUGGGUUAAGUCCCGCAACGAGCGCAACCCUUAAGCUUAGUUGCCAUCAUUAAGUUGGGCACUCUAAGUUGACUGCCGGUGACAAACCGGAGGAAGGUGGGGAUGACGUCAAAUCAUCAUGCCCCUUAUGAUUUGGGCUACACACGUGCUACAAUGGACAAUACAAAGGGCAGCAAAACCGCGAGGUCAAGCAAAUCCCAUAAAGUUGUUCUCAGUUCGGAUUGUAGUCUGCAACUCGACUACAUGAAGCUGGAAUCGCUAGUAAUCGUAGAUCAGCAUGCUACGGUGAAUACGUUCCCGGGUCUUGUACACACCGCCCGUCACACCACGAGAGUUUGUAACACCCGAAGCCGGUGGAGUAACCAUUUGGAGCUAGCCGUCGAAGGUGGGACAAAUGAUUGGGGUGAAGUCGUAACAAGGUAGCCGUAUCGGAAGGUGCGGCUGGAUCACCUCCUUUCU